This 220-nucleotide long non-coding RNA is filed under the name Gossypium barbadense (sea-island cotton). RNAcentral's name for it is "long non-coding RNA (GBAR_LNC001456)". Lineage: Eukaryota; Viridiplantae; Streptophyta; Magnoliopsida; Malvales; Malvaceae. The record is from RNAcentral.
CUUGAUUUAGCUAACCCAUGUACUAAUUUGUGAAACUGUUAAAGUUUUAGAAAGUUUCCGUGGUUGAUAAUUGAAUGAUUUUGGUGUUAAAUUGUUAAAAAUUAAGCUUAGUAUAUGAAAAUGACUAAAUUGUAAAGCUAAAUUCUUAGUUUCGUACAUUAGGGACCAAAUUGAAUAGAAUGAAAAACAAAAUCAUGAAUUAUUGGUGGGGAUACAAAAU